GAGAAGCCGUACAAGUGUGAGACGUGCGGCUCGCGCUUUGUACAGGUACGGAGCCAGUCUCCAAGUGGCUUCCAAGGCAAACCUGCAAGAGGUGGGGUGGGCCAAUAGGGAGGGUUCUGUUCCUCCCAGAGGCAGGACUUGAAGUCUCCUCCCUCCCAGGUGGCACAUCUGCGGGCGCACGUGCUGAUCCACACCGGGGAGAAGCCCUACCCUUGCCCUACCUGCGGAACCCGCUUCCGCCACCUGCAGACCCUCAAGAGCCACGUUCGCAUCCACACCGGAGAGAAGCCUUACCACGAACCAGUGACUUCAUGAAGUUUCUCCGGAGCCACCUGCAUCCUGCUGCUCUGAAGUCACUUCCUGCCUGAGGUGUGGAGGCGGCAGGGAGAAACCAGGAAGCCACUAAUAAUAUCAAGAGGCCGGGGCGUGCAUCUGUGCUGGAGAUCUUAAUGCUCGGGACAUGCCUCCAUCACCAAGGAAAAUGGAUAAGACUUGGGUCCCGUAAAGACCACAGGGGCUG
RNAcentral lists this small RNA (520 nucleotides) under Pan troglodytes (chimpanzee). RNAcentral's name for it is "retained intron". Lineage: Eukaryota; Metazoa; Chordata; Mammalia; Primates; Hominidae. The record is from RNAcentral.